Molecule: ribosomal RNA, 535 nt
Filed under: Bifidobacterium adolescentis
Lineage: Bacteria; Bacillati; Actinomycetota; Actinomycetes; Bifidobacteriales; Bifidobacteriaceae
Description: bacterial SSU rRNA
Rfam family: Bacterial small subunit ribosomal RNA
Source: RNAcentral
ACGGGUGGUAAUGCCGGAUGCUCCAGUUGGAUGCAUGUCCUUCUGGGAAAGAUUCAUCGGUAUGGGAUGGGGUCGCGUCCUAUCAGCUUGAUGGCGGGGUAACGGCCCACCAUGGCUUCGACGGGUAGCCGGCCUGAGAGGGCGACCGGCCACAUUGGGACUGAGAUACGGCCCAGACUCCUACGGGAGGCAGCAGUGGGGAAUAUUGCACAAUGGGCGCAAGCCUGAUGCAGCGACGCCGCGUGCGGGAUGACGGCCUUCGGGUUGUAAACCGCUUUUGACUGGGAGCAAGCCCUUCGGGGUGAGUGUACCUUUCGAAUAAGCACCGGCUAACUACGUGCCAGCAGCCGCGGUAAUACGUAGGGUGCAAGCGUUAUCCGGAAUUAUUGGGCGUAAAGGGCUCGUAGGCGGUUCGUCGCGUCCGGUGUGAAAGUCCAUCGCUUAACGGUGGAUCCGCGCCGGGUACGGGCGGGCUUGAGUGCGGUAGGGGAGACUGGAAUUCCCGGUGUAACGGUGGAAUGUGUAGAUAUCGGGA